This is a long non-coding RNA of Nematostella vectensis (starlet sea anemone), 744 nucleotides long. RefSeq lists it as uncharacterized. The transcript is spliced from 2 exons. The record is from RefSeq and is a predicted model, not a curated record. NCBI's taxonomy places the organism in Eukaryota, Metazoa, Cnidaria, Anthozoa, Actiniaria, Edwardsiidae.
CCGCAACCUGGAAAAUACAUUAAAGAGGGGAGUUAAGAAAAUAUAUAGUAUUUAAAUAGCACUGAUCUAUCAUCUUAGAAAAGGCUUCACACUCAAAAUCUUAAUAUGCAUUAAGAACUCAUGCAAAGCAUCUAUUUCAUUUUAACCAACAGAUAAACCAGGUCCAAUGGAUGUUAAAAAAUGAGAAACAGAAAAACUAAGGAAAAAACAAAAGUUGUAGGACAAAUGAUGCCGCCCUAUCUGGAAUAACAGCCACCCAGUAGGUGGUGACGUAGCAAAGAGAUGAACAAGCAACAACUUGACAUAAAGAGGAGCUGUGAAAAAAAGGAAUCAGUUAAAAGAAAAUCAAGCAGACAAACAAUAGGAGUUGUAAUUAGUAGGUACUGUAAAUGCACUUAAUAUGUAAUCUUUUAGCAUCUUAUGUUAAGUCUUACUGUCUGCCCACAAACGUUUCUGACUGUCUGUUGUCCAACUUCCUGUCUUUAAAAUUAAGUCUGUUUGUCCAUCUGUAUGUCUGUCUGUCUCUCUGUCAGUCUGUCUGUCUCUCUGUCAAUGUCUGUCUUUCUGUCAUCUUUUUGUCCAUCCAUCCGUCCUUCCGUCUGUCUGUCUGCCUACCUAUAAUAACAGCAGAGCUAUUAGCAUUGUACCUUGGAUUGAUAUCAGGCGCCAACGAGUGCUCCAAUGUGGUCAUCAAGUUUUUACAACUAAUUGUAACUGAAACAAAAUAAAUAAAUAGCAAACAUA